GUAGGUGGCGAGCGUUAUCCGGAUUUACUGGGUGUAAAGCGCGUGCAGGCGGUCUGGUAAGUCGGGCGUGAAAUCUCUCGGCUCAACCGAGAGGGGUCGUCCGAUACUGCUAGACUUGAGGGCAGUAGAGGAAGGUGGAAUUCCCGGUGUAGUGGUGAAAUGCGUAGAGAUCGGGAGGAACACCAGUGACGAAGGCGGCCUUCUGGGCUGCCCCUGACGCUCAGACGCGAAAGCUAGGGGAGCGAACGGGAUUAGAAACCCCGGUAGUCCUAGCCGUAAACGAUGCAGACUGGGUGUCGGCGGUCUUAACCCCGCCGGUGCCGUAGCUAACGCGAUAAGUCUGCCACCUGGGGACUACGGCCGCAAGGUUA
This 371-nucleotide ribosomal RNA is filed under the name uncultured Bacillota bacterium. Its description in RNAcentral is "bacterial SSU rRNA". It matches the Rfam family "Bacterial small subunit ribosomal RNA", at positions 527 to 896 of the family's 1533-position model. Lineage: Bacteria; Bacillati; Bacillota. The record is from RNAcentral.